GCCGGGAUGAACCCGGCGAGGGUGUUCGGCCCGGCGCUCGUCGGCUGGCGCUGGAGGCACCACUGGGUGUACUGGCUCGGCCCCUUCGUCGGCGCCGGCCUCGCCGGGCUUCUCUACGAGUACCUCGUCAUCCCGUCAGCCGACGCCGCCCCGCACGGCGGCGCGCACCAGCCGCUGGCGCCGGAGGACUACUAGACCCGCCGCCGGCGACCUCCAGCUACAAUAUCUAUUAGCUAUGUGUGUGUGGUUGUUUGUGAGUGUGAUUAAGUGGUUAAUAAGGGGUGGUGUGUUUGCUUGCCCCAGUGCUGGGA
Molecule: long non-coding RNA, 311 nt
Filed under: Oryza sativa (Asian cultivated rice)
Lineage: Eukaryota; Viridiplantae; Streptophyta; Magnoliopsida; Poales; Poaceae
Description: long non-coding RNA (OSAT_LNC001874)
Source: RNAcentral